This 76-nucleotide transfer RNA is filed under the name Planctomycetota bacterium. RNAcentral's name for it is "tRNA-Lys". It matches the Rfam family "tRNA". Rfam says of the family: Transfer RNA (tRNA) molecules are approximately 80 nucleotides in length. Their secondary structure includes four short double-helical elements and three loops (D, anti-codon, and T loops). Lineage: Bacteria; Pseudomonadati; Planctomycetota. The record is from RNAcentral.
GUGCCUGGAGCUCGAGCGGCAGAGCAGCGGGUUCUUACCCCGCGAGGUGCAGGUUCAAGCCCUGCCGGGCACACCA